Molecule: ribosomal RNA, 257 nt
Filed under: uncultured bacterium
Lineage: Bacteria
Description: partial 16S ribosomal RNA
Rfam family: Bacterial small subunit ribosomal RNA
Source: RNAcentral
UACGAAGGGGGCUAGCGUUGUUUCGGAAUCACUGGGCGUAAAGCGCACGUAGGCGGCUUUGUAAGUCGGAUGUGAAAGCCCUUGGCUUAACCGAGGAAGUGCAUCCGAAACUGGCGAGCUAGAGUACGAAAGAGGAUCGCGGAAUUCCCGGUGUAGAGGUGAAAUUCGUAGAUAUCGGGAGGAACACCGGUGCGAAGGCGGCGAUCUGGGGUCGAUACUGACGCUGAGGUGCGAAAAGCGUGGGGAGCAAACAGGGA